This 208-nucleotide ribosomal RNA is filed under the name uncultured bacterium. RNAcentral describes it as "partial 16S ribosomal RNA". It matches the Rfam family "Bacterial small subunit ribosomal RNA", at positions 568 to 774 of the family's 1533-position model. The record is from RNAcentral.
UGCGCAGGCGGUUUAUCAAGAAAGGUGUGAAAUCCCCGGGCUCAACCUGGGAAUGGCACUUUUAACUGAUAGGCUAGAGUAUGUCAGAGGGGGGUAGGAAUUCCACGUGUAGCAGUGAAAUGCGUAGAGAUGUGGAGGAAUACCGAUGGCGAAGGCAGCCCCCUGGGAUAAUACCGACGCUCAUGCACGAAAGCGUGGGGAGCAAACA